This 22-nucleotide microRNA is filed under the name Monodelphis domestica (gray short-tailed opossum). RNAcentral's name for it is "mdo-miR-7345-3p". The record is from miRBase by way of RNAcentral. Lineage: Eukaryota; Metazoa; Chordata; Mammalia; Didelphimorphia; Didelphidae.
ACUCGCUUGUCCUUUGCCACCC